GACAGAGCUGGGUUCAGAGCAUGCAGGGCAGGAAGAAGACCAGGUUUAUUUACAAAAACCUACUUUUAUACAUUUCCUAUGAGGCCUGUGGAUUGGAGGAUGGAAUUCCCACCUCCCCACCACAUUGGUCAAGGAGACUGUCAUUCAACCUCCCCUUCUCCUUGAGAAGGAAUUCAUAACAAGGGCAGUGUUUACAAAAUAUGGUCCUGUGUUUACAUUCAUGAGCACGAGAAACUGCACAUUUCUCCUUUAAUAUGAACGCUCGGCAAACCAGGAAAAAAACCUCAUGGCAACGGGUGACAAAUAACAGGGCCCACUGUGGAGGUCACUGAGGAAAUGAUGCUGAGAAUUCACUCCCUGGACAGACAAAGAAGAGCAUUAGGGAAGCACACACAAGCAGAUGUGCUGAUGGGAUGUGCUGAAGUACAGAAUAUCCCAGUGGUUCAGAUUUGUUUACUUUGUGGUAAGUCUCACAGAGACCUCUUCUGACACAAAGCAAUCUUGUCCUGUGUGCUGGUAGAGAGCUCAGUCCUUACUGAAGAAACAGGAGGCCUUCUCUUUCUCGAAGAGUUAAAGUGCCCUAAGGAAGCAGCGAUCAACAGACAUGAACUGGUGGUCACAAGCACAAGAGCUGCAUCUUCCCUGGACGUGUUGGAGGAAGGGUAAAAGCUUCAUGGAGAGCUCUCCAUCUGUUACAAAAAUCAGCAAGGGGACAGAGCAGAAAACAUGCUAACAGAAUGUGUACUCUCUAAGCAACAUUUAUUCUAUGUAUAGAAAAGGAAAAGAUAGAAAGAAUCAAACCUGAUCUAUAUCAGGCCUUCUUCAAGCUCCAGAAAUAAAAUAAAAGCAUAUCUGACUGCUUUUGUCAAUGCAUACCUACUUCCUCACAGCCCAUUUCAGACCACCUUCUAGAGUAAUAGAGAUUACUGCAACACGUGUACUACAGCCUUUUCACUUCUGAGGUGAAUAUUAGUACAAAAAAACAAUAUACUGGGCAAAAUAUGCAGGAGCAGGAGAUCAUUUUAUUCAUUUAGAAAGGAGCACAUGAAAUGGAAAAGAAAGAAAUGAAUGUGUAAAAGGAAGAGGGGAAUGAGAUUGGGAUUGUCAGUUCAAGAAGAUACAGCCCUGAGAAGCAGGAUCUGAGAAACAGUCAGUGACUGAAUCCUUUGUGUUAAUAAAAAAGAAAACCUUUUAGACAGAUAGAUGGAAGAUGAGCUUAAGAAUUUCUGACUUUGAGGAAGGAGAUUGAAGUCUCUGAACUACCUUCUUGUCAUUUAAAAAAAAAACUAUUUUUCAUAUAUUUUAGAAGAUAGUUCAGCUAGAAGAAAUGCAUAGUUACAGUAGAGAUAAAUGUUUUCAUAUUAUGCAGUGUUCAAAAAGGUAAUUGCAAAUACAUUUAGAAGAUAAAAUUUUUAUUCAUUUAAAAGAACUACAUUCAAAACAUGGCAAAUUAUUAUCUUGUAAGUAGAAUUUUAUUAGUAGAGUUGUAUUAAUAGAAUUAUUAUUUUCCUCUCCUCCCUGGUUGUUAUAAUCUUUCUCUGUUUAUCUAUUUUGGAUUUUUUUUCUUUUAGCUUAAAAAGGGUAUGUGCUCAUUCUCUGCAUUUUCUUCAAAGCAGAAAACAAUCCAGUAAACAUUAGGACUGAACUCUCAACCCAACUCUGUAAAAGUAGAAUCAUAAUUAGGCAAAGUUAGUUUGUCUGCUGCUGUGUGUAAACAAGUUGAAUAACUUCAUUAUUUUCAAGCUUUGCCCCUACAUUAGAAUAAUUCACACUACUUUAGGGAAAUGACACCUGCUAAUUAACCACAAGCAGACAAAGCACUUUAACAGCCAUAAUCAGUCAUUUUCUCCUGCAGUUUAAAAAAGAAUUUAAAAAAAUAAGAAGAAAGAAGAAAAGAUCAAAACCUUUGUGACAAGAUGUUUCCAUGAAUCAUCCUCUUGAGGAAACCUUACUGCUUGAAGAAGAUUCAAAUAUAAUAAGUCACACAUCUGUUCAGACUAGGAAUUAAGUAAAGUCACAUAUAUGCUCCAUUGUAUUUUAGAGACACCUGUUUGGGAGUUAGUUCCACCUAAAAAUAGAUAUUUAAAACGAUCAAUAUGUACAGUCAAUAUGUAUUUAUUGAAUGACUCAUUCCUAACAGAGGUUUCUAUAACAAUGAACCAGUAAGUUCCCAAAGUUCCCUCCCUCCCUCUCCACUGACAACCUUGCCUUUGGUGUACACAUCAGCACUGCAGAUGACUGAAGUAAAGUGGUGUGAAUCACAACCUGACAAUCCUGUCCCCAAAAAAUUUACAUUCAACAUGCACAAGAGAAAGUAUCUGCAAAAGCAAAUAUUAUUCCUAUUUUGUAGUGAGAAGAUGAAGCAUGAAAAAUGAAUCCCCUACACAUGGUUUCACUGAAAGUCUGUCAUGGAAUGAGAAGUAAAAACCAAACUGCUGGUGUCCUGCUUGAGGAACGCUAUAGUCCUAAUUAUGCCUUUUCUUCCUCUGCUUUCACAUUCUAAGAUCCUGAAGAAUUGUUUCAAUUGGAUUUUUAAGAGUUCCUAUAAAUCGGAAUUUCUCAAUUCAUUUGCAACAAUUUAGAAAGUACUUUGCAUGUCCUGGUGGGAUACUGCAUUAACCAAAACUGUGCUGAUACUCUCCAGAAUUGAUAGAAAAGGUUAAAACAGGUUAAAAGGUUAAAACAGGUUAAAAAGUUAAAACCUUCUCGUUCCUUCAUUCACUCAAUACCUAUAUUGAGCGGGAAGGAUUUACUUUCUGGGACAUACUAGGGAAAACCCCUUAAGCUAAAAGUGAAAGACAAGAAAAUGGUUUCACAGGAACUGGUAGUAGGAAAACUAAAUAUAAAAUCACAAAACCCAGAUAUUGCUGUCUCAGUUCUGCAGUAGUUUGGAGAAAAAAUGAUCCCUGGGGAAAAGUGCUGAAACAGCAAAAGAAAUGAUGGAAAUCCACUUAAGAAACUUAGAUUGUGAAUGUUAUUCACAAAAGGAAAUGGGACUCCAAGAACAAAGGAAAAAGUCUCACGCUUUCAGACACAUACCAAGAGAAGUGAGCAAGUUUGAUAUUUCCAUUUUAUGAGUAAGAACCAGUUAGACCCUAUUAUAAGGAGAUGCUGAACAGGCCAAAGAGCUACAGUCUUUUUCUCAUCACAAUGGCUUGCAGCAUGUCAGGCAAUUCCAGUGUUAGACCUUUCAUCCUUUGACCCCACUGUCCAUCUCCAGAGAUGUACUGAUCUCCAUCAUUAUUUUUCUAGGUAUCUGCAUACCUUUUAACAAUCCUUCAGCCAAGUUAGUACAGUCUUCAUCCAAAAUUUGUUAUUUUUUAAACCACAGCUACAGCAGUUGCCACAAAGUUAUCAUACACUUUGAUCGGCUUCUGGAAGAGUUUACAUACUGUGCUUGCUUGAGAUGACAGGAGACACAAAGUUUUCAUUAAUCAUUAAAAAAGGAGCUGACAGGAAAUCUCACUCUUCAGAUCAUGUAAAGGAUUCCUUGUGGUCUUUGCUUUGAGAAAUAGUCUGAUAUCUCCACUUUGUGCUUGGUUUUGUAUUUGGGUAUGUGAAAUCUCUGCAGGUGAGAGAAGUACAUUUCCUUUCCGUGGUGAAAUUGCACACAGAUUGGCUGAGCUGAAUAGUGUUGUGCAUGGCUAUUUCCUCAGCUUUUCCAGGAGAAUGUUAUCAAUUGCUGCAAUCCUAGAACACUCCAGAGAACCUCAUGCAAGACAGUACCAAAAAUGCAGCCUGGGAACUGAAGCCAACAACGCUGCUCUAGGAACACUGAAGGGGAUAGCUGGUUAUCAUUUUUGACAGAGAGUGACCCAAACUUAUCUUAAUGUCUUGCAACCACCAUAUAUCUGCAAUUCUUCCUUGGUUGACUUUCUGUGCAGUCCUGUUGCUGAGGGACAGAGAACUGAUCUCCUGUACAGAUGUAAGACAGUGAUAUCCUGUGCUGUGACACUGUGGCUGAUCAGGAUUUUCUGGCAUGUAACAGUAAUGAGUUCUACCUUUUCUCUACCAAAACAUAUACAAAAAUAUUCUAAAAGACAUUGCUUAGGCUGUAAAGUCCAUGUCCUGUAAAUUAGAGGAUCUCAAGAUAAAAUUAAUUAAUAUUUGUAAAUGUAUUGAAAGGUCUCAUGGAAAUAUGACCUUGCCCAAUAUUUUAAAGACAUGUCAGAAACAGGGAUAAAUACUCUUAUUUGGCAUUUCUUAACAUUUAAUUCAUUUAACAAUCCAACCCAAUGCAAGUAAUUUUUCUUUACUGUUGUUAUUUUUGUUGUGUGGUUUUGGUUUUUUUUUAAAUUGUAAUUACAGGCAUGUACAUGUACUUGUUUAUGCUCAUAUAAAUUUAUAAUACUGGGAAAAAGCUGUGUUUUCCAUUCAGCAUGAAAUGUCUUGCUUGACUUGCUUCCCUGUAAUGAUUCUUGAAUGAGAUAAGAAAAAUAAAAAGGCUAAAGACCUCAUGAACUCUGUGCUACACCUGUAAUUACAGUACUUAAGGGUUCUUAACCACACUGCAGAAGAAUAAAAGGAAACGAUCUCAACAUAAGCACUCUUGGGUACAUCCUAAAUCUGUUCACUUUUUUCUCAGCCCACCACCUCCCACCAGCUGACCUAAUGAACAAAUCCUUUCUGACUUCAGAAAAAUCUACAUUUUAGCCAUUCCAGCUGGGAACAAGCAAGGUUGUACGCUGCCAUGGCAGCAGUAACACUGAGAAUGGGAUAAGUAGAAAAGGUGACAAAGGCAGCCAAAAAUAACAAGUGCUAAAGAAGUAGGAUUCUGUUUAUCUGUGGUUAGGUGGAUGGGGUUAAGCCCUCCACCUAAGCCUGGUGCUUAGGAGCCCUGGCUAUGGAAGUGUCUUAAACCCCAAGUGUCAGCGUGGGAUCUGUGGUGAUAGGUUGCUAUCUUAGAAAAUCACUGGCAUUUGACAAGAUCUCAUUUGCCCAGUCCACAGAGGAUGCUCUGUUUCAGCUCACAUACCAAUUCAUAGUAAUUCUUAUUGGAGAAUUACUUAUUACUUGGCAUAUAGUGCAAGCUGUGUUUCCUCUGUGAUCCUCCUUGAGCAAUAUAAGCUCACUCAAUUCCUACAGAGUAGGUAACUUUGAGUAACAAGUAUUACUAUGUAACAAGAGUUCAGAGAGUUCAAUAUUUUUCCCUUUGGUUUCCCUGAAGUUCAUCACAAAAUUGCUCCAGGUCUGCUUUGAUGAAAGGCACAGAUUCCUUGCAGGCAAAAUCCUGGCAGCACACAGAAAAAUAAAUUCAUAGUUUCCAUUUUUAAUUCUGCACUUCCUGUUGCAUGUAUUUGCUCUCAAACCACUUCAUUUAAAUGAUGGAAUACAGUCCAUUAGAACAAAAAAUAAAAAGGUCUGCAGUCUUGCAAUGAGUACAUGCAGCCAAAUGAACCAUGAGGCACAAAGCCCAGCAAAUGGGUUGUGUGAGGGUGGAAUCACUGAGGGCUGCAGAAAGUUGAAAGAAUUGAAGAAAAUGUUUGUGACCGUUUGAUAUAGCCCAGCUAUUUGACAUAUGACCAGUGAACCAUCCAAAGUGGGGUUGGUAAGGUAGAUUCAAUGAGGAAGUACAAUCAUUUAUCAGUAUGAAUUGUUAUAAUUAGUUGUUUCCUCUUCAAUUCUUUUCUAAGAACUCAGCAGUAUCUUCAGUAUAAGUUUAAUGUGCUAUAGAGGAUGGGUAAAUGUUGUAGUCAUGGAAUGAAAAUGGCUGUAUAUGUUGCAACACAUCGCUUGUGUAUUCUUUCAUGUAAUUAGAAAUUAAAUAAUCAAGAUUUGUUUUCCUUUUGGUCAUGUUAAGAGAGAGGUUAAUUCAUACAGUCCCUAAGUACUUCCAUGUGUGUUCCCCCUUAGCUAAAAUGCAUAUCAGUUUUGCAGGUGACUGAAGAGUGGUUACAAUACAAAUUAUUUAAGGCUUAAAAAAUGAGAUGACAUUUGAAAUGUGUCAUUGUUAAUAAAAAAAAAUUGUUCUGAUGUUAUGCCCACCCACACAUGUCUAACUUUGUCCAUCUACCUUUUUUAAUCUUUCUUUUUUAUCCUAGAGGAAUAUCCUUUGUCAUCCUCCUCAACUGCCAUCUUAAUUUAAUCAUGAAAGCAACAAGAGAACAUGCAGGUCCAGAAAUGCUAUG
Molecule: long non-coding RNA, 6128 nt
Organism: Prinia subflava (tawny-flanked prinia)
Lineage: Eukaryota; Metazoa; Chordata; Aves; Passeriformes; Cisticolidae
Exons: 5
Source: RefSeq, a predicted model, not a curated record